RNAcentral lists this ribosomal RNA (253 nucleotides) under uncultured bacterium. RNAcentral's name for it is "partial 16S ribosomal RNA". It matches the Rfam family "Bacterial small subunit ribosomal RNA", at positions 524 to 776 of the family's 1533-position model. The record is from RNAcentral.
UACGGAGGUGGCUAGCGUUAUUCGGAAUUAUUGGGCGUAAAGCGCACGUAGGCGGCUUUGUAAGUUAGAUGUGAAAGCCUGGAGCUCAACUCCGGAAUUGCCUUUAAGACUGCAUCGCUCGAAUCCGGGAGAGGUGAGUGGAAUUCCGAGUGUAGAGGUGAAAUUCGUAGAUAUUCGGAAGAACACCAGUGGCGAAGGCGGCUCACUGGACCGGAAUUGACGCUGAGGUUCGAAAGCAUGGGGAGCAAACAGG